UGGGCGUAAAGCGCGCGUUAGGUGGUUUAUUAAGUUGGAUGUGAAAUCCCCGGGCUCAACCUGGGAACUGCAUCCAAAACUGAUUCACUAGAGUACGAUAGAGGGAGGUAGAAUUCACAGUGUAGCGGUGGAAUGCGUAGAUAUUGUGAAGAAUACCAAUGGCGAAGGCAGCCUCCUGGAUCUGUACUGACACUGAGGUGCGAAAGCGUGGGUAGCGAACAGGAUUAGAUACCCUGGUAGUCCACGCCGUAAACGAUGUCAACUAGCUGUUGGGGAACUAUGUUCUUCAGUGGCGCAGCUAACGUAGUAAGUUGACCGCCUGGGGAGUACGGCCGCAAGGCUAAAACUCAAAUGAAUUGACGGGGACCCGCACAAGCGGUGGAGCAUGUGGUUUAAUUCGAUGCAACGCGAAAAACCUUACCUAUACUUGACAUACUUGGAAUGCUUUGUAAUGAAGCAGUGCCUUCGGGAGCCAGGAUACAGGUGCUGCAUGGCU
Molecule: ribosomal RNA, 496 nt
Filed under: uncultured Candidatus Portiera sp.
Lineage: Bacteria; Pseudomonadati; Pseudomonadota; Gammaproteobacteria; Johnevansiales (SeqCode); Johnevansiaceae (SeqCode)
Description: bacterial SSU rRNA
Rfam family: Bacterial small subunit ribosomal RNA
Source: RNAcentral